CCCAAGCUCGCCAAGGAGAUCCGGGCUCUGAGUCCGGAGCGUGCGGUGGAGCACGCCCGCCUGAUCGUUCCGGACACGCGGGU
This 83-nucleotide transfer RNA is filed under the name Streptomyces turgidiscabies. RNAcentral describes it as "tRNA-Gln". The record is from RNAcentral. Lineage: Bacteria; Bacillati; Actinomycetota; Actinomycetes; Kitasatosporales; Streptomycetaceae.